RNAcentral lists this ribosomal RNA (433 nucleotides) under uncultured bacterium. Its description in RNAcentral is "partial 16S ribosomal RNA". It matches the Rfam family "Bacterial small subunit ribosomal RNA", at positions 29 to 507 of the family's 1533-position model. The record is from RNAcentral.
AACGAACGCUGGCGGCAUGCCUAACACAUGCAAGUCGAACGAGACCUUCGGGUCUAGUGGCGCACGGGUGCGUAACGCGUGGGAACCUGCCCUUAGGGUCGGAAUACCUCCCCGAAAGGGGUGCUAAUACCGGAUAAUGUCUUCGGACCAAAGAUUUAUCGCCUUUGGAUGUGCCCGCGUUGGAUUAGCUAGUUGGUAGGGUAAAAGCCUACCAAGGCGACGAUCCAUAGCUGGUUUGAGAGGAUGAUCAGCCACACUGAGACUGAGACACGGCCCAGACUCCUACGGGAGGCAGCAGUGGUGAAUAUUGGAAAAUGGGCGAAAGCCUGAUCCAGCAAUGCCGCGUGAGUGAUGAAGGCCUUAGAGUUGUAAAGCUCUUUUACCCGGGAUGAUAAUGACAGUACCGGGAGAAUAAGCUACGGCUAACUCCGUG